This is a long non-coding RNA of Leptonychotes weddellii (Weddell seal), 371 nucleotides long. RefSeq lists it as uncharacterized. The record is from RefSeq and is a predicted model, not a curated record. Lineage: Eukaryota; Metazoa; Chordata; Mammalia; Carnivora; Phocidae.
AGCCCAAGGGAAGCCAUAAAUUACCAUGUCAAUUCAAAAGCUGAGAAAACUAGUCUGUGUAGCAGAAGAGAAGAAUGAAGCAGAUGUGCUAAAAAGCAGAAGGCAAAAUAGCAUGACAUUUUUUUCCCAAGAAAGGACAGCUCUGGCACAAUGAGGAAGGAGGUCCAGGCAGCACCAUUUGGCCUUUCCAGGAGGACAGACUGGCGACGCCCCUGGGCCCUGCUCUCCGGGAAGUGAAUCAAUGGGGAGCCCCAUGCCUAAGGCAAGGGACAGCCAACAUCCAGUGGUAGCUGGAGACAGAAUCGGGUGAAAGGAUCAUAUCUGAGCACAGAAUGACUCCUGGGGCACCUGGAUGGCUCAGUUGUUAAGUG